CCUACGGGAGACAGCAGUGGGGGAUAUUGCACAAUGGGGGGAACCCUGAUGCAGCGACGCCGCGUGGGGGAAGAAGCGCCUCGGCGCGUAAAGCUCUGUCAGCAGGGGAGAAAAUGAAGGUACCUGAAGAAGAAGCCGGGGACGAAUACGUGCCAGCAGCCGCGGUAACGAGGAGGGGGCCAGCGUUAUCCGGAUUUAGUGGGUGUAAUGGGGGCGUAGACGGGGCUGAAAGCCAGGAGUGAAAGCCUGGGGCCCAACCCCGGGACAGCCGUUGAAACUGCGUGGCUUGAGAGGAGGAGAGGCAGGCGGAAUGCGCGGUGUAGCGGUGAAAUGCGUAGAUAUCAGGAAGAACACCGGUGGCGAAGGCAGCCUGCUGGAGUGCAACUGACGUUGAGGCACGAAAGCGUGGGUAUCGAACAGGAUUAGAUACCCGAGUAGUC
RNAcentral lists this ribosomal RNA (440 nucleotides) under uncultured bacterium. RNAcentral describes it as "partial 16S ribosomal RNA". It matches the Rfam family "Bacterial small subunit ribosomal RNA", at positions 338 to 795 of the family's 1533-position model. The record is from RNAcentral.